RNAcentral lists this unclassified non-coding RNA (2371 nucleotides) under Leishmania donovani. RNAcentral's name for it is "gene:LdHU3.25.1240(CDS-product:hypothetical_prote in_conserved)". The record is from RNAcentral. Lineage: Eukaryota; Euglenozoa; Kinetoplastea; Trypanosomatida; Trypanosomatidae.
AUCACUUGCGUUGUGCCUCGUGGCAAGCUCGCAUGGAGAGCGGCGCCGUCUCCAGCGAAAGCCGUGUCGACAAAGUCGAUCGCGGGAGCAUCGCGAGUCCUCUGCCGUUCUUGAGUGCGACUAUGCCAGAGCAGCAGAAAGCGACGGCAGCCCUCAUCGACGCACCUGACGACAUAGACUCGCUGGCAGAAGAAUUGGAGAACGCGACACACUCGCCGAAGACGAUGACCGCGGCGAGCACGCCGGCAACAGGCCCGAAGGUCAAAGGAAGCGCCAGAAGCAAGAAGAAGCGGGGCGCCACCGCCCCACGGGGGACAGCGGGGCGCAAAGUGAGGCCAGAGUCGGCUGAAGAGUCUACCCUGGUGGCAGCCAUAACAGCGCGCUCCGCGGAGCACGGCACCACCGGCACCCGCAGCAGCAGCCGAGACGAGCCCGAUGGACUGAGCGAACGGAGAGACGAGACGCGACGAGGGAGUGAAGGGCCAGAGCAAAACCUGUCGACCGUGGAAGGCGUGCUGGCGUGCCGCACCAAGACGGAAAAAGCGGAGGGCACCGCAGCACUGCAGCAAGAGAAGCCGCGCCCUGACGGAGCCAGCGACACGGCAGCGAGCAAGCUUGAGGGGUCUGAGGAGCUGCUCGGUGAUGCACGCCUCCACGAGGUUCGCGGCAGUCGGUCUCGCUCGCACUCCACGGCGCCACACACCCCGGCGGUACUGAACCCCGCCUUUGCGUCGUCGCUGUCUGCACUCGGUGCCAAGCAGGAAGAGGAGGAGGUGUGGGAGGUGGCGGUGCAGGCGGCCAUCGAUGCCCAGGAGCGCCAGCUGCGCCACACCCUACUUAGCGUUUUCCCCCCUGAGCUACUCCGGGGCGCCGAAUGGGAGCGGUGUCUCGCCAAAGAGUGGGACCUCCGGAGUGGCACCGAAGCCGCUGUCGCGAGGAACGUAAAGGAUGCGCCAUCCCAGCCUGUGCGCACCGCUCCAACGCCGUUUCUGUCCUCUUCCCUGCCCCACCGCCUCAGCCCCGAGCCACUCCUGCCGCUGCUGAAGGCACUGUGCGAGGACAAAGCCUAUGUACACGGCGCGUGGUGCCGCUACGAGGACGACCUUGCCGUCCGCCGCACCCAGAACAGCAUCCAGCGCAAGCGGCAGCGCAACUCAUUCAACAAGGGUGGUCGCAAAGCCUCCUCGAGCGGGCCAACCGCUGCAGCACGGCGUCGAGAUGGCGACGGCGACGACGACGAUAGUAGCGCUGGUGAGGACAACGCUGCCGAUGAAGACGAGCUCCAGCCCCCAGAAUCUCAUUGGGUGGAGGCGCCGCCCGCCUUCACGGGCGGCCCGCGGCCGUUCCCGACGAGUGCCACUCACCUCGCGCCUGACAGCGCUGUCAUCGGUGGAUUCCAGUGGACACCGUGGCGCUUCUACCGAGAAAAGCGGCGGCGCAGCUCGCGACGGCCAACGGCCAGUGACGCGUCCCCCGCCUCAGCGAGGUCUGUAACCGCGGCCAGUGCCGCUCAGCCGGACCUCUUCUCCGCUGUCUCCAGCAGCGCACCUGUCAGCAGUGGUGGCGUACCCUCUCUCGCCUGCUCCGAGGUGCCCUCUCUGCCAGUUCUUCAAGUAGAGGCGCACGUACCGGAAAGCGCGGUGGCUGUCGUGCCUCCGAUGACGCCGGAGGAGCGAAAAGGGUACGCACGCUACGUGAUGAGCAGCGGGAAACUGCGCCACGACUGCCGCGAUCCAUACGCCUUUCUCGUUUCGCGUGCAAAGGAGAUGCGCAUCCAGUGGAAGCGCCAGCAUCCGAUGGACUGAAACACGUGUGCGUGCCUACGCAACGCUAAAAGCGGGUUGGAGAUGCAGCCGGGGCAGUGAAGCGCGGCAUGCGAGUAAGCCCGAUUCACACCACAUCCAUGGCUGCCGACAGUGCACCUCUGUGGGUGUGUGCGUGCUGAGCGAUGCAGCGACGUGCCUGCUUCUACUUGUAUCAGUCCCCACCACCACCACCGCCACACACACACACUUCCGACUCUCUCCUACCGACGUUUUUCCUGCUGCAUGUGUGUGUGUGUGUGUGUGUCCGCGUGUGUGUUGUGAAGAAGCGGAAGUGCCGUCGCCACGGUGACAGAUCGCGGCCGUCGGUGAGGGCACGACGGAAGGAAGCAAAGGAGAGGAAGGGCCGCGCCGUCUACAAUUUGUCUCCGGAGGCGCCCCCACUUUUGUGUGUGACCGCCGCUUCGAUGUAGUACAGUUCUGCUUCACCGCCACCGUCACCACCACCCGUCCGUCCUCCUCUCUUUCGUGUCUACCAUCCUCACUCACACGGACGAUUGCCGCCGCUGCUGCUGCUGCUGCUGAGCUUCUUCCCGCUCUCCACCGAG